GUGAAUCAUCGAAUUUUUGAACGCAAAUUGCACUCUCUUCGGAGAGUAUGCCUGUUUGAGGGUCAGCCUAAAAAAAAUCGACAUAGUUUCUGUUACGUGUUAACAUUCUUCAGAUAUUGGGUCAUCUUAAACAUUUGAUUUUAAGUGCGUUAAAAUUUUCUUUACGAUUCCAAUAAUGUUUUUAAGAUUUUAUCUUCUUAUACUUUUUAUUUAUCGAUCUUUAUUAGACGUGACCGUUGCAUCGGGUCUCUUUCA
Molecule: unclassified non-coding RNA, 255 nt
Filed under: Glomus sp.
Lineage: Eukaryota; Fungi; Glomeromycota; Glomeromycetes; Glomerales; Glomeraceae
Description: partial contains 5.8S ribosomal RNA and internal transcribed spacer 2
Rfam family: 5.8S ribosomal RNA (bases 1-65)
Source: RNAcentral